CUCAAUCUCAUGGUUCCUGAGUUUGAAUUUAACCUCUUAGCACAUUAUGGUCUCAUCUACCUUAAGGGAAAGAUGGUCUCAUUGGGAGCAGCACCAGUUGCUCUUCCAACACAGGCAAAAUGCCAUCAACCACACUUUUCCAUUCCUCCAUGUGGGAUACGCCAGGAGUGUCUUGGGGAAAACAAAGAAGACAGAGAAAACAAAGAUAUGGAGAAAACAAAGAAGAUGAGACCCGUAUUCUUACAGCUCAGAGUUUCUUGGGGGACACAGGUGUAUGUAAAACUAUGAUACUGAGAGGAAACGUAGCCCAAGUGAGAAACGACCCUGCAAGUGCCCUCACUAGCUCCAUGUUCUAAUGAGCUUAGUUGAACCACCAGAGGAGAAGGUGAGCAUAGUUAUUCUCGGGGCGGAGGUACAAGCUGACCGACAGAACCAAAAAGUAGCUGGAACUUCUGCUAGGCCACCUGAGGUCCAGAAGCAAUUCCAUAUAGCAAAGAGCAUGCUCAGACCCAAGACUCAGGAUACCCAGACUCCAGUUGGGUCUGCUGUGAAUAAGGUAAGCAAUGGCUGGAUGGACAGUUCAUUCAACAGAUUUAUUGAGCACCUGUUAAUAGACGUGGAGAUCCAAAAGAAAUAAGACCCAGACUCCGUCCUCAGGGAUGCUCACAAGUAAACAGGUUAUUUCCAUGAUAAGGAUCCAUAUGUUCCUUCCUCCCAGGUCUGUGACUUCCUUAUUCUAUGCCUAUGUUUCUACAAAUCAGACUUAAAUGAUAGUCAGGAUGCAAAGCCCCAGGCACAAUUCCCUGGGCUAAUUUUUUCUCCUCAGAUGAGAAAAACUGCAGAUGGCCCCAGAACCCCUGCUUCUUCCUGAACACCUUCAACCCACAGGUAUCUUGCCUGCAUAGCCACAUAAAACCUCAUGCUCACUCUGGGUUGGAAAUCAGGGUUUGAACAGAAGCUGGCAGCAAGGGAUGGGUCCUGUAGGCAUGGGUGCACUCAGGAGGACAGAUGCCAGAAAAGGCCUCGAUUCUCCUGAGAACGCUUAUCUCC
RNAcentral lists this long non-coding RNA (1050 nucleotides) under Marmota monax (woodchuck). Lineage: Eukaryota; Metazoa; Chordata; Mammalia; Rodentia; Sciuridae. The record is from RNAcentral.